GGUGGAUGAUGUGGAUUAAUUCGAUGCAACGCGAAAACCUUACCUACCCUUGACAUGUCUGGAAUCUUGGUGAGAGCCGAGGGUGCCUUCGGGAGCCAGAACACAGGUGCUGCAUGGCUGUCGUCAGCUCGUGUCGUGAGAUGUUGGGUUAAGUCCCGCAACGAGCGCAACCCUUGUCACUAGUUGCCAUCAUUUGGUUGGGCACUCUAGUGAGACUGCCGGUGACAAACCGGAGGAAGGUGGGAUGACGUCAAGUCCUCAUGGCCCUUAUGGGUAGGGCUUCACACGUCAUACAAUGGUCGGUACAAAGGGUUGCCAAGCCGUGAGGCGGAGCCAAUCUCAAAAAGCCAACCUCAGUUCGGAUUGCAGUCUGCAACUCGACUGCAUGAAGUUGGAAUCGCUAGUAAUCGCUGAUCAGCAGGCAGCGGUGAAUACGUUCCCGGGCCUU
Molecule: ribosomal RNA, 448 nt
Filed under: uncultured Thauera sp.
Lineage: Bacteria; Pseudomonadati; Pseudomonadota; Betaproteobacteria; Rhodocyclales; Zoogloeaceae
Description: bacterial SSU rRNA
Rfam family: Bacterial small subunit ribosomal RNA
Source: RNAcentral